This 258-nucleotide ribosomal RNA is filed under the name uncultured bacterium. Its description in RNAcentral is "partial 16S ribosomal RNA". It matches the Rfam family "Bacterial small subunit ribosomal RNA", at positions 30 to 289 of the family's 1533-position model. The record is from RNAcentral.
UUGAACGCUGGCGGCAGGCCUAACACAUGCAAGUCGAGCGGAUGAAGGGAGCUUGCUCCUGGAUUCAGCGGCGGACGGGUGAGUAAUGCCCAGGAAUCUGCCUGGUAGUGGGGGAUAACGUCCGGAAACGGGCGCUAAUACCGCAUACGUCCUGAGGGAGAAAGUGGGGGAUCUUCGGACCUCACGCUAUCAGAUGAGCCUAGGUCGGAUUAGCUAGUUGGUGGGGUAAAGGCCUACCAAGGCGACGAUCCGUAACUG